ACACCGAUUCACUUGCGUCUCUGCACACUUGUGUGAUCCUCUACAUCCAUUUGUGUGUUUUAGAUUGGAGGCGUUUUCCGAAGGAGCUGCGCAUGAGAGAGAAGAGACCCCUGAGAGACAAUAAGGGAGCAGGUGAGGCUGAUGCGCUCAUGAAUGAGUGUGUAAAGACGAGCCGAACCAGCAGGUCUGCGCUUCGCUCUCUGACUCAUCGGCGUCUCUGGGGAAAUCAGAGAGAUGGCUCUCAGCCGCGCUGCACACACAUCUCCAGAAUGAAAGGAUGGAGAGAAAGAGGAGAUGAGAGAGGGAUGAAGGUUUAGGCUUGAAGAGCGUCUGUCACCAAGAGAGGAGAGAAGAUUAUUUUUAGUCCUUCUGUGUCUUUUGUCAGAGGAGCUGUGAUCAAUGAGUUGAUGUUAUUAUGGGAAGAUGUUGCUGAUGUCAUUUCCACAGUCAAAAACACGGUUUUGCUUAUAUGGUUGCAGAAAGCCCAGCUGUUCCCAAACAACCCAAACAGCCACGAGUGGACAAAGAGGAGAUCAUACGCAAACUGGAGACUCUGGAGCAGAAAGAGGAAGACGGGAGUUCUGAUGAAGAGGAGGGAGAGAAAAAGAAGCCAGAAGAGGAAGAGGCUGAGGGAGAGGAAGGGUAUGAUGAGGAGGAAUUUGAGGAUGAAACAGAUUACAUCAUGUCCCACUUUGACAAUGGAGACGAGUUUGGAGGAGACAGUGAUGAUAACAUAGAUGAAGCUGUUUACUGAAGCAGGUGACGGCGGCUCCAGAGCGCCCUCCUCCGGCCAGUGAGUGUCGCUGGAACUGCUCUGUCCCUCAGGACCGUUCUAGCUUGGAUCAUUAUGUUUGGCAGCUGAUGUUGAAAUCUGUAUGCAGUGGAUUUCCUCUCAUCCGAUCGGUUGGCAGGGCGGCUGAUUGCUGACAAAGAGCAUUUGAAUCCGAGGGUUACGGCUGGAGGACACAGAGAAGACACUGAGGCACAAACUUCUCUCUUAAUGCAGCUAUACA
Sinocyclocheilus anshuiensis is the source of this 1013-nucleotide long non-coding RNA. NCBI's taxonomy places the organism in Eukaryota, Metazoa, Chordata, Actinopteri, Cypriniformes, Cyprinidae. The record is from Ensembl.